Molecule: ribosomal RNA, 1980 nt
Filed under: Triticum aestivum (bread wheat)
Lineage: Eukaryota; Viridiplantae; Streptophyta; Magnoliopsida; Poales; Poaceae
Description: partial small subunit ribosomal RNA
Source: RNAcentral
AUGGAAACUGCCGCCGCUGGCUCGCGCCGCCCGCCGGCCCUCCGCCUCCUCUGCCCUAAGAAGUCCGUUCUCUCCUCCCCCUUCCCAUCCCUCCUCUGGCUCGUCGGCUCCCCUCGCUUCCUCCAGCCCGUCACCGUCGCUGCCGCCCUCCGCUGCCUCCGCUUCCUGUCUGACGACGGCCCGUUCUCCCCCGAUCUUCCCCACGAAGCAGACGAAAUCCGUGGAUUACUCGUGAGGGGGUUCGACAUCGUGGGGGGCCUGUUCGUCGGGAGCGCGAAUUUCGAGUCAGAUGCCGGCAGAGCGCUGGAACUGGCCGGGGAGCUGAGGGAGCGGCUGUUCGGCGAAAGGGCGAGCCAUGGCAUGGUUGGUGGCUGCGUGGAUGCGUCCACCGGGGACAUUCGGUUUCUUGUUUCGGAGAGUGGCGGGUCAGAAGUUGUGGAAGGGCAGGAGGUGCUGUGGGGGGAUGAGCCGGGGAGGUCGCUGCUGGAGAAGGGCUGCCUUCUGCGCUGCGAGCUGCAGCUGCAGCUGCCACUCUAUCUUCCUUCGGAUGAGACGAUGUCUGGCAUUGAAGCGAGGUUUUCUUCACUCAUUGAAUCUACAGCUGCUAACCUCAGAAGUCCUCAUGUUUCUUACCUAGUUGAAGGCCCGACUGCAACAUUUGACGAAUCACACCAUUCAGUUAUCUUACAUGGCAAUAAUUUGAAUUCUGUUUCCCAACUACCCAUCAACACAAACACAAACAAGUGCAGUGCCAAAAUUGUAUCCUGUUCAGAAUUCUUACCGACAAAGAGGCAUGACCUCUCCUCAAUAAGGGAGAAUGCAGAUGCAAUUCAGAUAACUGUCCUAUCCAAUCAAUCAUUGAACAUCUCAAAGGCUGGCUCCCCUGCCCCUAUGUUAAAGUACUUUCCAGCACCAGCACCAGCACCAGCUAGCCUGAGAGUAAUCGACCUGAAGCUAGAUAUAUUAUGCUACAGUUCUAUGGAUCUUCCUGUAGCCGUUGCUGUAUCUGAGCUAGUUAUUCCGGGAUUAGCUGAUCAGCUAAGCAUUAUGAAGAAGGCUAUCGUCUCAGAGCUCUUAACUCAACAGCCUAAGCUUUGUCCGUACCAUUUUAUUCCUCCUGGGUUGCUUAUUCCUCUAACAGCUAUAUACGACACAAGAUACGGGGAGAUUGAGGAAAAGCAGAGUGAACUGAGAAGAAAUCUGCACUUCAGGCUUGGUCUGCCCUUGGAUCGUCCUUUAUUACGGACUUCUAAUGCACUAACUUUUGGUGCCAUGGAAAGGCGAGAUAGAAGCUCAUCUAAAAGUGGUUCCUCAUUGCUUCGAGAUGUCCACAAAGAAAUUCCAUCUAGUGGUGUAUCUGGAGGAAUCAUGUCAUUGAUUGAGGGUUCAUAUGAGUAUUACCAUUACCUACAUGAUGGUAUCGAUGACAAUGGAUGGGGAUGUGCUUACCGUUCUCUACAAACAAUCAUGUCUUGGUACAGGCUACAACAGUAUUCGUCUAUAAAUGUUCCUUCACACAGGGAGAUCCAGCAAGUUCUUGUUGAAAUUGGUGAUAAGGAUCCAUCAUUUAUUGGAUCUCGGGAAUGGAUUGGAGCGAUAGAAUUAAGCUUUGUGCUUGACAAACUUCUUGGUAAUUCGGUCAUGCAGGCUAGUUGCAAGAUAAUUAACGUGAGAUCUGGUGAUGAGCUUCCUGAGAAAUGCAGAGAACUUGCGAUACAUUUUGAAACCCAGGGAACUCCUGUAAUGAUUGGUGGUGGAGUUUUGGCUUAUACCCUUCUGGGAGUUGAUUACAACGAAGCCAGCGGUGAUUGUGCUUUUCUCAUCCUUGAUCCACACUACACUGGUAGUGAUGACCUCAAGAAGAUUGUUAAUGGUGGGUGGUGCGCGUGGAAGAAGUCUGUCGACAGCAAGGGUCGGAGCUUCUUCUUGAAGGACAAGUUCUACAACCUCCUUCUGCCCCAAAGGCCCAAUAUGGUGUGA